UGGCAACCGUUCUCUUGCUUAACCUAACUC
RNAcentral lists this non-coding RNA (30 nucleotides) under Mus musculus (house mouse). The record is from RNAcentral. Lineage: Eukaryota; Metazoa; Chordata; Mammalia; Rodentia; Muridae.